This 245-nucleotide ribosomal RNA is filed under the name uncultured bacterium. RNAcentral describes it as "partial 16S ribosomal RNA". It matches the Rfam family "Bacterial small subunit ribosomal RNA", at positions 524 to 768 of the family's 1533-position model. The record is from RNAcentral.
UACGUAGGGGGCGAGCGUUGUCCGGAAUCACUGGGUGUAAAGGGUCUGUAAGCGGACUGACAAGUCAGAGGUGAAAUCCUGCAGCUCAACUGUAGAACUGCCUUUGAAACUGUCUGUCUUGAGUCCGGGAGAGGAUGGCGGAAUUCCUGGUGUAGCGGUGAAAUGCGUAGAUAUCAGGAAGAACACCGGUGGUGAAGACGGCCAUCUGGACCGGUACUGACGCUCAGAGACGAAAGCGUGGGUAG